This 821-nucleotide long non-coding RNA is filed under the name Canis lupus familiaris (dog). RNAcentral describes it as "lncRNA (ENSCAFG00845004403.1)". The record is from RNAcentral. Lineage: Eukaryota; Metazoa; Chordata; Mammalia; Carnivora; Canidae.
AAGAAACUCCAUCAAGCAUCAUUAUCCAUCUAGGCAACAUCUAGGCAACUGUGGUUAUUCAUGCUUUUUAUGUCUCCAGUCUCUUAGACUGUACUUCCCACUCAUUACCAUUGCAAGUUUCUGCUAUAUCUGCUUUCCUUAGACGUCUGAGGCAUAUACAUCAUAGCUACAUGAAUAGCAUGAAUAAUGUUCCCCCAUUAUGAGGACAGGGGGCCUGCAGCUAUUGGCUGGUAAUGCUCUGGGAGCCCAUGGUAGCACAGAAGGACUGAACUUUCCAAAGUAGCCUGAAAACUUGGUCUUGCCAUUUGGUGCACCCAGCAGUCUUCUGAUGGAGAAGGCUUCCAGGAUGAGGACUGAGUGGAGAAGACCAUGUGUUAAUGUAUUCUAAAUAUGAAGGUACAUGCCUCUGGGAAAGCAGAGACCAUGAAUGAAAGGAAUAACUUGGCCUACAGCUUAGCAACUGCCACCAUCAUUAACUGCAAGAAUUAGGUCUUGCCUCAUUAACUGCUGAUUGAAGCUCUGCUUGGCCCUCUGGGAUACCUAACACCCCAGGCCUAUCACCAGAUGAACCCCUGGUUAGGCGCUUUUGCCUUCGCCUGUGUUGCUUUGCACAGCUCCUUGACCUCAACCUUCUUACGAAUGUUUAUCCUUCUACCAGACAAACAAGUUCAUUCCCUGAAGUAAAACUAUCUGGGCAAAUGGAGCUGAUUUCACCUCUUGGAUCCUGUAUCAGUAUGUACAGUCAGUCGGGGAGCAGGGACAAUUUCAGUGAGAGGUGCGUGACCCCCCAAAAAGGUGAAGAAUCAAAGCAACAGAGCUAG